UACAGAGGUCCCGAGCGUUGUUCGGAUUCACUGGGCGUAAAGGGUGCGUAGGUGGUGAGGUAAGUCGGAUGUGAAAUCUCCGAGCUCAACUCGGAAAUGGCAUUGGAAACUACCUUGCUAGAGGAUCGGAGGGGGGACUGGAAUACUUGGCGUAGCAGUGAAAUGCGUAGAUAUCAAGUGGAACACCAGUGGCGAAGGCGAGUCCCUGGACGAUACCUGACACUGAGGCACGAAAGCUAGGGGAGCAAACAGG
This 253-nucleotide ribosomal RNA is filed under the name uncultured bacterium. Its description in RNAcentral is "partial 16S ribosomal RNA". It matches the Rfam family "Bacterial small subunit ribosomal RNA", at positions 524 to 776 of the family's 1533-position model. The record is from RNAcentral.